This is a long non-coding RNA of Mustela erminea (ermine), 2889 nucleotides long. RefSeq lists it as uncharacterized. The record is from RefSeq and is a predicted model, not a curated record. The transcript has 4 exons. NCBI's taxonomy places the organism in Eukaryota, Metazoa, Chordata, Mammalia, Carnivora, Mustelidae.
AGGAGAGAAAAGAGGGUGGGGAGGGGAUCGCGGGCGGCGGGGGGAGGGGAGCGCGCCACCCCAACAGACAAUGAGCGCCGCGCAGCCUGCGGGUGUGGGCCGAGCUGCGAGUACCUUCCACGGAGGGGGGCCAGUCCAUCAAGGGGGCGCCGAGUCCUGGGACACCCGGGGAACCGCCGAGGUGGCGGAACGCUUGACCUGGCUGGCGACCUACACCCACCCGGCCCAGCACUUUCCUCCGCCCCCAGUUACACACGCACUCACGGGGGCGGGGGGGGUGGGGGUGGCACGAGAGGAGUUGGCAGUGCACAGCCCAGCGCCACCAUCGAGGCGGGAGGGACGCUCCAGCUUUCGGGUCAGUGUGCCUCCAGAAUAAGGGGGAAAGUGCUUUGCUCCUCGGGCCUUCCCCGCUCCUCAGUCCAUAUUAAAAGAGCUUUUAAUGCUCUGCCUUUGUAUGUGAACUACCUUAAACUUGCACCGACCUCUAAUCGAGCCCCUGGGUCGUGGUGACCGUCGGGGAUCGAGGUUCCAAAGAUACGGGAAAGAAGGAACUCUAGUGCCCAGCUCCCUAUAUCUGCCCUGCUUUUUAAGAACAGACUAAAUUCCUAGGAGGUUUCGGGACGUUUACGUCGACACAUCAGCUAACCUUGGGGAACUUUUAAUUCGGGGUAGUGGUAUACGUAAAGUCUAGUCCCCAAAGGUGCGCGUAAUGAAAAGGGCUUACACCCCAGUCGCGUUCCAAGGUGCUUUCCAAGUUUUCGUGUCCCGUUUGCUCUGAGCUUAUCCUGGAGAAAACUUCAGACGCGACCCCAGAAGGCCGCGGAGAGAGAAUUUUAACUAGGGCAGCAGGAGUUGCUUUGUGGGGAUGGAUUUUACAUUUUUCUCCCAGAUUUUAAGCUGUGAACAGCCUCCAAGCCUGAGCCCCGAGGAGACCUAGCUCCGAAAUUGGUUCCUGUUGUAUUUCUUUAUAUUAGCAAGUAUGAAGGUGUCUGUGUGAAUUUCCUUGGACAACAGCUAAAGCUCUAGGGACCUGCUUUUCCCGCAGCUUCGCAGCGGUUGUGAGAGGGUGCACUGGCCUUGGGACCGCUGGGACAGAGGUGAGCAGCGGGGCAAACGCUGACUAUAGCCUGUCGUUUCUAAGGGCUCAAGAAGGGACCCGGCAUUUUUUUUUUUUUUAACUUUCCCGAUUUCCAGUCUCUCUAACACUGCCUAAAGCAAGGGUGGGAGGUUGUAAUUUGCUCCUUUGUACGGUAGCAGUUUUUUAGAUUGGUUUACCAACUAAAGGAGAGAAUGGAUAGUAAAAUAUUUUUCUUUUUAGUUAACUAAAAAUUAAAACUUUUUAAAUCCGCAGUGUUUCUUCAGGCGGAAAGGCAAGUAAAGCCUGACCCAUCCAGUUUACCAUUUUCCUAAAGCACUGGAUUUGGCCCCGGGGAAAACUUCCACUCCCCCGGGUUGGGGAGGAGUGGCAUAUUUUCAAAGCCACCCCCUAGGGGUUCCUAGGUCCCGCGCUGUGAGUUUCCUUUGAGUACCCCAGUUGGUUUGGGAAGGCGGGCAUCAUAGGGAACGCGGAGGAAAGAAGUGUACCCUAAACUAGGGAGGAACCCAAGAACUGGAGAAGUCCCCCCAUAGUUCACCAGUAAAUAGGCUCUUAACAGUUCUAUUUUCUUCGUGGUUCUUUUUUCUUUUUCCUUUCCUUUCCUUUUCUUUCUCCUUUUUCUUUUGCCUAUCUCCUUUGGGGGUGGAGGGAUUGCUAAUCUUAAACGAAAUUCUUUCUCUCCCGACUAUUUAGACUCAAGGAGUGGUCCCUCCGGAGUAUGCCUUCCGUCCUCGAGCCCACCUCCUCAUCCUCGGAGAGUUGCUGGCUCUGGGGCGCGACCUGUCCCCAGGGCUGAUUUAUUUGGGGCGCGCCGCCACACUACUAUUCGCGAUUCGAAUCCAGCCAGAAUAGAGCAGCCAAUUGGGCAGGGGGCGGAGGCUUUGUUGCUAAAUGCGAAGGGAUGUUUGGGGACCCAGCCACGCUCUUUUUCCAGAGGAGCUGUGACACGCGGGCGGGGGCCCGCAUAACGACACGCCUUGACCCCUGCAAACUUAAGCUCAUUACGCCGUCCGUUCCCCAAAGCUCCCGGCUGCUCCAGCGACACUUGAGAAUUUGUGACUUACUUGAGUUUUUACAAAGCCACAUCUCUAGGGCCUUUUCGCCUAUACCGGAUUUCUUACCGUCCCUGGGACGCUUUUGCCGAAGGACAGGGGUCACCCUGGUGUCCCCCCACCCCAGCCAUCCUCCGGGCCCAAUCGUCGUGGGGCGGCCUGUUCUCGGACUCAGCCGCUGUCAGUCCAGUGCAGGCGCUUGCGGAAAGUCCUGACGGUGUUUGGGGUGGAGGGCGGCGGGUGGUUUUGUUUUGUUUUAAUUCUUGAAAGCCCAAAAAUAUACGUUAGAAAUAUCAGAUCGUGGCAGGGGUUGGGGGGGCACGAAAACGGCGCAGCCUAGAAAAUUGGGUCUCCCGCCCCCCCCGCUCCCCGUCCCCCGCCCCCUUUUCCCGCCGCCUGUCACUUCGGGUAAGGAACUCGCCGAGCGCGGGCGGUCGGCAUAGCGUCCCGGCGCGCUGCGGCUGCAGGCCGGGCCCGGCCGCCCCCGGCCCCGCAGUCCCGGGCCGCCCCCAGCCAGCGGCCGCCAGCACGGCGCGGAGGUGGGCUCGCGGCGGCGGCGCGCGAGAGGUCAUCGCGGUGGCAUUCCUCCCUGCGCGCUGUUUACGUGAUUUAAUGUAUUUCAUACGCCGCGGCCUGUUAUCUAGGCCACCCAUGACCGACGAAAGAUCUUCCCUCCCGGCUUCUCCCACGGCCGCUUUAAACCAAAUAAAUUUAGCUAUUAAGGGCCAAGAUGUCUGACAA